GAGUUUGAUCCUGGCUCAGGAUGAACGCUGGCGGCGUGCCUAAUACAUGCAAGUCGAACGAACAGAUAAGGAGCUUGCUCCUUUGACGUUAGCGGCGGACGGGUGAGUAACACGUGGGUAACCUACCUAUAAGACUGGGAAUAACUCCGGGAAACCGGGGCUAAUGCCGGAUAACAUGUUGAACCGCAUGGUUCUACAGUGAAAGACGGUCUUGCUGUCACUUAUAGAUGGACCCGCGCCGUAUUAGCUAGUUGGUGGGUAACGGCCUACCAAGGCGACGAUACGUAGCCGACCUGAGAGGGUGAUCGGCCACACUGGAACUGAGACACGGUCCAGACUCCUACGGGAGGCAGCAGUAGGGAAUC
RNAcentral lists this ribosomal RNA (365 nucleotides) under uncultured microorganism. RNAcentral's name for it is "bacterial SSU rRNA". It matches the Rfam family "Bacterial small subunit ribosomal RNA", at positions 9 to 363 of the family's 1533-position model. The record is from RNAcentral.